RNAcentral lists this ribosomal RNA (253 nucleotides) under uncultured bacterium. RNAcentral's name for it is "partial 16S ribosomal RNA". It matches the Rfam family "Bacterial small subunit ribosomal RNA", at positions 524 to 776 of the family's 1533-position model. The record is from RNAcentral.
UACGUAGGGUCCGAGCGUUGUCCGGAAUUACUGGGCGUAAAGAGCUCGUAGGUGGUUUGUCGCGUUGUUCGUGAAAACUCACAGCUCAACUGUGGGCGUGCGGGCGAUACGGGCAGACUGGAGUACUGCAGGGGAGACUGGAAUUCCUGGUGUAGCGGUGGAAUGCGCAGAUAUCAGGAGGAACACCGGUGGCGAAGGCGAGUCCCUGGGCAACUCCUGACACUGAGGCACGAAAGCUAGGGGAGCAAACAGG